This 275-nucleotide ribosomal RNA is filed under the name uncultured prokaryote. RNAcentral describes it as "partial 16S ribosomal RNA". It matches the Rfam family "Bacterial small subunit ribosomal RNA", at positions 524 to 798 of the family's 1533-position model. The record is from RNAcentral.
UACGUAGGGAGCGAGCGUUGUCCGGAAUUACUGGGCGUAAAGGGUGCGUAGGCGGCGUGGCAAGUCAGAUGUGAAAUCCCCGGGCUUAACUCGGGAGUUGCAUUUGAAACUGCCGUGCUUGAGUGCAGGAGAGGAAAGCGGAAUUCCUAGUGUAGCGGUGAAAUGCGUAGAUAUUAGGAGGAACACCAGUGGCGAAGGCGGCUUUCUGGACUGUAACUGACGCUGAGGCACGAAAGCGUGGGGAGCAAACAGGAUUAGAUACCCCCGUAGUCCCU